This 73-nucleotide transfer RNA is filed under the name Heterocephalus glaber (naked mole-rat). It matches the Rfam family "tRNA". Rfam says of the family: Transfer RNA (tRNA) molecules are approximately 80 nucleotides in length. Their secondary structure includes four short double-helical elements and three loops (D, anti-codon, and T loops). Lineage: Eukaryota; Metazoa; Chordata; Mammalia; Rodentia; Bathyergidae. The record is from Rfam by way of RNAcentral.
GGGGAUAUGGUUCUAUGGUAGAGUGCUUGCCCUAGCAUGCAUGAGGCCCUGGGUUCAAUUCCCAGUACCACAA